Molecule: non-coding RNA, 101 nt
Organism: Pelobates cultripes (western spadefoot toad)
Lineage: Eukaryota; Metazoa; Chordata; Amphibia; Anura; Pelobatidae
Source: the annotation of a GenBank genome assembly
UGGCACUCCAGAUGUUUUGGACUACACCUCCCAUGAUGUUUUGCUAAUAUUCGGGGGUAAGAGCAUUAUGGGGGAUGAAGUCUAAAACAUCUGGAGUGCCA